GUCCACGCCGUAAACGAUGGUCACUAGGUGUGGGAGGUGUCGACUCCUCCCGUGCCGUCGCUAACGCAUUAAGUGCCCCGCCUGGGGAGUACGGCCGCAAGGCUAAAACUCAAAGGAAUUGACGGGGGCCCGCACAAGCAGCGGAGCAUGUGGUUUAAUUCGACGCAACGCGAAGAACCUUACCUGGGCUUGACAUGUCGGUGACAGGUGUGGAAACACACUCUCCCUUCGGGGCACUGUCACAGGUGGUGCAUGGCUGUCGU
This 263-nucleotide ribosomal RNA is filed under the name uncultured bacterium. RNAcentral describes it as "partial 16S ribosomal RNA". It matches the Rfam family "Bacterial small subunit ribosomal RNA", at positions 793 to 1055 of the family's 1533-position model. The record is from RNAcentral.